Molecule: long non-coding RNA, 617 nt
Organism: Neltuma alba
Lineage: Eukaryota; Viridiplantae; Streptophyta; Magnoliopsida; Fabales; Fabaceae
Exons: 2
Source: RefSeq, a predicted model, not a curated record
UAUCUAGCAUGAACUUCUAUUCGAAAUUCAAGUUCCAAAUUCUCUAUUCCAUGUGCAGCUUGAAUAUUAUAUUUCGCCGCUAUUUUUUCUUUUUUAAGCUUAGUUGUUUAUAUGGCUAAUCUAUUGAAUAAAAUACUUGAACAAGAUAAUCUCUCCCGACAUGCAUUUGACACUAUCAUAUGUCAACAAAUCACAUGAAUUAAUUAAAGAAAACCCAUUUCAAAGUGGGGGGAUCUUAGUUAUCAAUAGCCACUAAGAUAUUAGAUAUGUGCAUGACUCUUGAGGCCUGAUGAACUUGUGAUUGUGGUUAGUGAAUAAUUCGAGGUUAGGCAGAAGGCAUUGUUGGAAAGCAGGAGAGAAACUGCAGGAUGGCUAUUUUGACAGUGGAUAAGGGCAAUCCAAUAGAUUAGGCAAUUUGGACCAUUAUGAUCAGAUAUUGUACGUAUGGAUGGGGACCCGUCAAGCUCACCGCAAUCUUAAACGAAUGAGGUUGAAAUUAUGUUAGCUAUCAGCUUAUUUGAUUUGAAGAGAUAAUUACACAUUUGUUUUGCUAUUUGCUUGUACUAUACCCUAUAAAUGUUCAAUAUUCAUCUAAAUACAUAAAAAUUUGUUACUCA